This 894-nucleotide ribosomal RNA is filed under the name uncultured bacterium. RNAcentral's name for it is "bacterial SSU rRNA". It matches the Rfam family "Bacterial small subunit ribosomal RNA", at positions 8 to 916 of the family's 1533-position model. The record is from RNAcentral.
AGAGUUUGAUCCUGGCUCAGGAACAACGCUGGCGGCGUGCCUAAUGCAUGCAAGUCGAACGGGAACCCCUUCGGGGGUCGACCGUGGCGGACGGGUGAGGAACACGUGGGGAACCUAGCCACGCGCGGGGGAUAACGGCGGGAAACCGCUGGUAAUACCGCAUGGGCUUCCAGGCCGGUGGGGCGUGGAAGCAAAGGUCUUCGGACUGUGCGUGGGGGGCCCUGCGGCCUAUCAGCUGGUUGGUGGGGUAGUGGCCUACCAAGGCGAUGACGGGUCGCUGGUCUGAGAGGACGAUCAGCCACACGGGGACUGAGACACGGCCCCGACUCCUACGGGAGGCAGCAGCAAGGAAUUUUCCGCAAUGGGCGCAAGCCUGACGGAGCGACGCCGCGUGGGGGACGACGCAUUUCGGUGUGUAAACCCCUUUUCUGGGGGAAGAAGGCAGUGACGGUACCCCAGGAAGAAGGACCGGCUAACUACGUGCCAGCAGCCGCGGUAAGACGUAGGGUCCGAGCGUUGUCCGGAGUUACUGGGCGUAAAGGGCGCGUAGGCGGUUGUCUACGUCCCACGUGAAAGCCCCUGGCUCAACCAGGGAGGGUCGUGGGAAACGGGGGAACUGGAGGCAGCGAGAGGCUGGUGGAAUUCCCGGUGUAGUGGUGAAAUGCGUAGAGAUCGGGAGGAACACCGGUGGCGAAGGCGGCCAGCUGGCGCUGACCUGACGCUGAGGCGCGAAGGCGUGGGGAGCGAACGGGAUUAGAUACCCCGGUAGUCCACGCAGUAAACGAUGUGGACGAGGUGUGGGGGGGAGUUGACCCCCUCCGUGCCGGCGCUAACGCAGUAAGUCCACCGCCUGGGGAGUACGGCCGCAAGGCUAAAACUCAAAGGAAUUGACGG